Molecule: ribosomal RNA, 269 nt
Filed under: uncultured Planctomycetales bacterium
Lineage: Bacteria; Pseudomonadati; Planctomycetota; Planctomycetia; Planctomycetales
Description: partial 16S ribosomal RNA
Rfam family: Bacterial small subunit ribosomal RNA
Source: RNAcentral
AAGCACGUAGGUGGGUUUGUAAGUCAGAUGUGAAAGCCUUCUGUUCAAAGGAAGAACUGCAUCUGAAACUGCAGAUCUUUAGUGUAGGAGGGGAGAGUGGAACUUCUGGUGGAGCGGUGAAAUGCGUAGAUAUCAGAAGGAAUGUCGGCGGCGAAAGCGACUCUCUGGCCUAUUACUGACACUGAGUGUGCUAAAGUUGGGGGAGCAAACGGGAUUAGAUACCCCGGUAGUCCUAACUGUAAACGAUGGGCACUAAGUAGAGGGGUUUU